UACGGAGGGUGCAAGCGUUAUCCGGAUUUACUGGGUUUAAAGGGCGCGUAGGCGGCUCUGCACGUUCGUUGUGAAAUCGCCCGGCUCAACUGGGCGGGGUCAGCGGAUACGGCAGAGCUUGAGCAAGCUAGGGGGCAAUGGAAUUCCCGGUGUAGUGGUGGAAUGCGUAGAUAUCGGGAGGAACACCAGUGGCGAAGGCGGUUGCCUGGGGCUUGGCUGACGCUGAUGCGCGAAAGCGUGGGGAGCGAUCCGG
Molecule: ribosomal RNA, 253 nt
Filed under: uncultured bacterium
Lineage: Bacteria
Description: partial 16S ribosomal RNA
Rfam family: Bacterial small subunit ribosomal RNA
Source: RNAcentral